UUUUUUUUAAUUUUUUAUUGUUGGCUGUUCAAAACAUUACAUAGUUCUUGAUAUAUCAUAUUUCACAAUUUGAUUCAAGUGGGUUAUGAGCUCCCAUUUUUACCCCAUAUANUCUACUGACAUUCGUUUGUCCCCCUUAUAUUAUUUUUCCCCUUCCCCUCACUUCCUCUUGUAUGUACUUUUGUAUAACUCUGAGGGUCUCCUUCCAUUUCCAUGCAUUGACAAAAUCAUAGAAUUUACAGGGAAAUGGAUGGCAUUAGAGCAGAUUAUGCUAAGUGAAGCUAGCCCCCUAAAAAACAAAUGCCAAAUGUCUUCUUUGAUAUAAGGAGAGUAACUAAGAACAGAGUAGGGUCGAAGAGCAUGAGAAGAAGAUUAACAUUAAACAGGGAUGAGAGGUGGGAGGGAAAGGGAGAGAUGGACCUUAAUUUUAUUUACUUGUAUGUGGUGCCGAGAAUCAAACCCAGCACCUCAUGAAUGCCAGGCAAAUGCGCUACCACUGAGCCACAACCCUAGCCCCUCCCCUAAAUAAUUUAACCACUUAGUGUAAUGUGUUAAAAUAACAUUUCCCUUUCUGUAAUCAUUUAUUUAUAAUGUCUUCGUCGUAUAGUGAUUCACAAUCUCUUAUUUACAAUUCUAAAUCCAAAAGGUUUCUGACAACCAAUUUUCUUUCCCCUUAACAUCAGAACUCAUUAUGGCAAAUUACAUGGCAAAACCUAACCUGAAAUGACAUGAAACUACAAUCUUUAUUUCUUUUGGUAUGAGUUUUCAUAUUCUACUAUAAAAAUGGUAGUGUGUUUAAUUAGAAUGCUAUUCUAGCCUUAAAUGGAGCAUGUGAUUACAUACAUUGAGUUACUAUUUAGAAAUAAAUUCUGAAUUAUGAAAUCCAGCUAAGUCUACAGAUUUAUGAUCAAGGGGCUGGGGUUGUGGCUCAGUGGUAGAGCACUUGCCUAGCAAGUGCAAGGCCCUGGGUUCUAUCCUCAGCACCACAUAAAAAUAACUAAAUAAAAUAAAAGAUAUUGUGUCCAACUACAAUAAAACAAAUAUUAAAAAAUAAGAGAUUUAUGAUUAAGAAUUUUGAAAGCAUAUUAAAUUUAUACACAGAUACACAUUAUACUUUAAUGUAUAGAGUAUUUUAUGUUAUUAUAUUGAUUGGUUAACAUAAAAUACUUUGGCAGUCCAAAGACUGCUUUUUGAUUGAAUCAUUAUAGUUUUUUAAUCCAUUAUUACUAUUCUUGUUUUUUGCAAAUAUUGACUUUUCUACUUCCAAAGUAACUUUUUUGUUGUUGCGCUUUUAGACACACAUGAUAGUAGGGUGUAUUUUGACAUAUUAUACAUACAUAGGGCACAACCCAUUACUUUUUUCUUUUGUUGAUGGACCUUUACCUUUUUAUUUAUUUUUAUGUGGUGCUAAGAAUCGAACCCAGUGCCUCACACAUGCUAGGCAAGUGCUCUACCACUGAGCCAUAACCCCAGCCCAACCCAUUACAGUUUUGAUCCCUGUUCUUAAACAUGAUGUGUAGUUAGUUACACUGGUUGUGUUUUCAUAUAUGAGCAUAGGAAAAGUAUGUCUGAUUCAUUCUACUGUCUUUGCUAUUCCCAUCUCUCUUCCAAAUUAGCUUUAGGAUCACUUGUAUUAGUUUAAAUUAAAAUUCUACUGGAAUAUUGAUUUUAGAAGUAUAUUAAUGUUUCUGGGCAGGGUGGCAUUUACCUGUAAUCCCAGUGUCUGAAUAGAGGUAGAAGGAUCACAGAUUCAAAGGCAGCCUCAGCAGCUUAGCAAGAGCUUCUCAAAAUAAAAAAUAAAAGGCUGCGGAUGUGACUUAGUGGUUAAGUGCCCCGGGGUUCAAUCCAUGGUACCCCCCAAAAAAAGUACAUUAAUGUUGUAAGUUAAUUGAUACUGAAAGAAGCAAAUGGCAAGUUAUUAUGGUAAGUAUCAUUAAAGUUUUUUAGUUAUCCUGUCCACAUAAAUUUUUAGGUAAAGUGGUUGUUUCUUAUUAGCUGCUACUUGUAGAGAAGCUCUUCAUUCCACAACCAUUUUAAACUGGUAAUAGCAGUUAUGUAAGGAUGUUAUUCCUUUAUUAAUGUAAAUUUUUUAAAAUAUUCUUAGGUGGACAUAAUAUCUUUAUUUUACAUUUAUGUGGUGCUGAGGGUUGAACCCAGUGCCUCGUGCAUGCUUCACAAGCACUCUACCACUGAGCCACAACCCCAGCCCCUAAUGUAAACUUUUAACAGGGGCAUAACAUGUAAACAGAAAAGAACUAUUAAGUUCAUACUCUUCAAUGAAUUUCUCAAGGUAAACACACAUAAUCACCAGAUCAAGACUGGAACUUUAGCCAUUCUGGCGUACACCUGAAUCCCAGCUAUUCAGGAAGUUAAAGCAGGAAAAUUAUAAAUUCAAGCCUCAUCUGGCAUUUUGGUGAGACUCUUAACUAUAUAAGUGAAUUCUUCCACUGUAUAUUUUUAAUAAUUAUUCAUGUUUUGUAGAAUUCAUUCUCAAUGCUGUAUAUAUAUUUCGAUGUGGUAAAUCACACUUAAUCCAUUUUUAUAGAUGAUAAACAUUGAAUUAUUUCUUGGCAUAUUAUGAAUAGAACUGCUGUCAAUAUUCUUGCACGUGUUUGGGGGGAUAUAUUUUCAGCUAGACAUAAACUUAGAGUGGGAUGCUAAGUCACAGUUGUAUUUUCCAAAGUUAUUCAAAUUUUUCCAUUUUCUAAAGUAAUUGUUCUACUGUAUUCAACAGUGUAAAGAGUUUCACUUAUUCUACACUAUUGCCAGUGCUUAAUAUUUUCAUUUUAGCCAUUUUGGUGGAACUUGGUUUUUCCUGCCUAGUAAACGUUUUUUUCCAAUAUUUAUUGAUUAUUAUAGGCUGUCCAUAUCUUUUACUCUUUUUUGUAUUAGUUGUCUGCCAUUUUCUUAGUGAUUUGUAGGUGUUCUAUAAUCUAGAUAGAAGUUCUUUAUCAAAUAUCUGAGUAUUUUCCAUUUUUUUCUUAUAAAAACUUUUUGGGUGGGUGGGUACUGGGGAUUGAACUUGGGGGGUACUCAACUACUGAGCCACAUCCCCAGACUAUUUUGUAUUUUAUUUAGAGACAUUCUGAGUUGCUUAGUGCUUCCCUUUUACUGAGGCCAACUUUGAACUUGCGAUCCUUCUGUCUUAGCCUCCUGAGCUGCUGGGAUUACAGGCAUGAGCCACCAUACCCAGCUCUAAAAUCAUUUGUUCUCAUAUUUUGAUUGGUUAUCCAUCUGGAAUUAAUUUUCCAUGUGAAUAUCCAGUUUAACCCAGCACCCUUUAUUAAAAAUACUAUCCCAACAACUGCAUUGUCCUUUUCCUCUAUCAUAGUUGGUAAACUGUUUAUGUGUAUGUUUCUGAACCCCAGAUUAUUCCAUUGGUCUUUUCUUAUAAGUUUUGCCUAUAACAGACUGUCUUAAUUACUAUAGGAAACCUGUGUUAUGUUCCAGUUUCCAUUUAUAUAACUAAGUGAACUCUGUUAGCACUCAUGGGUUUUCUAGUUUAUUUAUUUAUUCAGGACCUAUCUUCUGUAAAUUAUUUUCCAAUUUUAUUUCUUACUGCACUAUUAGCAUUGCCAGUACAAUUAAUAAUGAUCAAAAUAGGCUUCAUUGUCUUGUUCUUUGUUUUGUUUUAUUUUAUUUAUUUAUUUAUUCUACUAACAGGAUUGAACCCAGGGACACUUAAUCACUGAGUAACAUCCCCAGCCCUUAUAUAUUUUUUUUAAUUUUGAGACAGGGUCUUGUUUAGGGUCUCGCUAAAUUGCUGAAGCUGGGUUUGAACUUGCAAUCCUCCUGCCUAAGCCUUCCAAGCUGCUAGGAUUAAGAUGUACACCACCAUGCCCAACUUGUUCCUUAUUUUAAUGGGAAUGUUAAGUGUAAUGUUGACUUUCAUUUGUAGUAUUUUGUUUUGUUUUCUUUUGCAGUAUUGGGGAUGGAACCCAAGGUUUGAACAUGGUGGCCAUUGUUUGUAGUAUUUUAAUAAAUUACAUCAAGAGUAUGUGUUGAGCUUAAUUAGGUGCUUUUCUAAUGUCAAUUAAAAUGUUUGCAUUAAACCUAUGAAUUUAUUUGGACAUUAAUCCUAAUAUUAUAUACUUGGUGAUCUUAGUGAAUGAUUCUUGAACUAAAUUUGAUUUGUGGACACUUGUUUAAAUGUUUGCUUUUAAUGAGAUUGGUUUAAAACUGAUACUAAUUUUUAAAUGAUUUUGAAAUUUUUCCUUCUCUUAUAGUUUAUCUCAGUACUGGGGAUCAUAAAUAGAACCUGUCUUAAGGUUGGUGUGAAGUCUAAAUAAGACUAUAUGUAAAACUAUUUAGAUCAGUGCUUAGAACAUAAAAAACACUUUUUUGUGGAGGUUGGGAGUCAAUGGGGUUUGAACCCAGGGGUGAUCUACCACUUACCACUGAGCUGUAUCUCUAUCCCAUUUUAAGUUGCUGAGGCUGGUCUUGAACUUAAGAUCCUGUUGCCUUGGCCUCCCUAGUGGCCUCCCUCCCCAGCCUAAAGAGCACUUUAAAAGAAUUAGCUGCUAGGGGCUGGGGUUGCGGCUCAGUGGUAAAGCGCUUGCCUAGCAUGUGUGAGGCCCUGGGUUUGAUUUCAACACUACAUACAAAUAAAUAAAAAUAAAGGUCCAUUGGUAACUGGAAAAAAAAAAAAAGAAUUAGCUGCUAAAGAUCAGUAGAGUAGAGGGAGUGGGGAGGGGUAAAGUGCUGGGGAUUAAAUUAGAGCAAAUUACAUUUCAUGCUUUUGUGAUUAUGUCAAAAUAUAUCCAAAUGUUAUAACUAAAAAGAAUAUAUAUAUAACUAAAAAGAAUCAAUUAAAAAAAACAUUUAGCUGAUAUCAUAGCUGAUGGUGUUCUAUGUUUCUUUUUUCUGCAGUUUAUCUAAAAUAGCAAAUAGCUUUUCUUAGGAUUAAGUCAUCCAAAGCUGUAGUAUUUUGCUUAAAGUGUUCCAAUUUCUUUUCUCUGAAAUUUCUGGCAGGCCGAUUUAUCCAUUCAGGCUUUGAACUUAAUUAGUCAGAAACCACAUUUUUUCCUCUGAUUUUUAUAUGUGUUAUUUAAGUUGAUUUUUUUUUAACAAAAACACCAUUCUUAGAUUUAACAUUUUUUUUAAGAGAGAGAGAGUGUGUGUGUGUGUGUGUGUGUAUUUUAACAGCAUUACUGCACUAUUAGCAUUGCCAGUACAAUUAAUUGAACCCAGGGCACUUUACCACUGAGCUACAUCCCCAGCUCUUUUUAUUUUUUUAUUUUGAGACAGGAUAUGACUACAUUGCUAGGGCUGUCCUCAAACUUGCAAUCCUCCUGCCUCAGCUUCCCAAGUAGCUAGGAUUACAGACAUGCACAAAUAUACCCAGCUAGUUGUAUCCUUGUUGAUUAAUUUCUUCUUUAUCCUUUGUGCUUCCUGUUUUUAUCAGUGUACUUUUUGCAUGUUUACUUGUUAAACUACAUAAAAUUAUCUUUUUUAACCAUGAAAACAUUUAACAUUAUGACUUUACUUCUGAUUUCAACUUUCAACAUCAAAUAUGGAAGGUGGGGUAAGUAGUAUGAUUUUUUAUUUAUUUUAUUUUUUACUUAGAAUUGGUUAUUAUGCUCUCUGGUAUAAAAAAUUGUAUUACUGUAAUUAAAGGAUGGUUUGUGUGUGUGUUGCUGGAGAUUG
RNAcentral lists this long non-coding RNA (5646 nucleotides) under Marmota monax (woodchuck). The stretch from base 918 to 986 matches the Rfam family "tRNA". Lineage: Eukaryota; Metazoa; Chordata; Mammalia; Rodentia; Sciuridae. The record is from RNAcentral.